GGAUGACACUUUUCGGAGCGUAAACUCCUUUUCUUAGGGAAGAAUUCUGACGGUACCUAAGGAAUAAGCACCGGCUAACUCCGUGCCAGCAGCCGCGGUAAUACGGAGGGUGCAAACGUUACUCGGGAUCACUGGGCGUAAAGGGCGCGUAGGCGGAUUAUCAAGUCUCUUGUGAAAUCUAAUGGCUUAACCAUUAAACUGCUUGGGAAACUGAUAAUCUAGAGUGGGGGAGAGGCAGAUGGAAUUGGUGGUGUAGGGGUAAAAUCCGUAGAUAUCACCAAGAAUACCCAUUGCGAAGGCGAUCUGCUGGAACUUAACUGACGCUAAGACGCGAAAGCGUGGGGAGCAAACAGGAUUAGAUACCCUGGUAGUCCACGCCCUAAACGAUGUACACUAGUUGUUGGGGUGCUAGUCAUCUCAGUAAUGCAGCUAACGCAUUAAGUGUACCGCCUGGGGAGUACGGUCGCAAGAUUAAAACUCAAAGGAAUAGACGGGGACCCGCACAAGCGGUGGAGCAUGUGGUUUAAUUCGAAGAUACGCGAAGAACCUUACCUAGGCUUGAUAUCCAACAAAUUCUGUAGAGAUACGGAAGUGCUAGCUUGCUAGAAUGUUGAGACAGGUGCUGCACGGCUGUCGUCAGCUCGUGUCGUGAGAUGUUGGGUUAAGUCCCGCAACGAGCGCAACCCACGUAUUUAGUUGCUAACAGUUAGGCUGAGCACUCUAAAUAGACUGCCUUCGUAAGGAGGAGGAAGGUGUGGACGACGUCAAGUCAUCAUGGCCCUUAUGCCUAGGGCGACACACGUGCUACAAUG
This 812-nucleotide ribosomal RNA is filed under the name uncultured bacterium. RNAcentral describes it as "bacterial SSU rRNA". It matches the Rfam family "Bacterial small subunit ribosomal RNA", at positions 406 to 1232 of the family's 1533-position model. The record is from RNAcentral.